RNAcentral lists this ribosomal RNA (254 nucleotides) under Enterobacter roggenkampii. RNAcentral describes it as "partial 16S ribosomal RNA". It matches the Rfam family "Bacterial small subunit ribosomal RNA", at positions 1 to 253 of the family's 1533-position model. Lineage: Bacteria; Pseudomonadati; Pseudomonadota; Gammaproteobacteria; Enterobacterales; Enterobacteriaceae. The record is from RNAcentral.
AAAUUGAAGAGUUUGAUCAUGGCUCAGAUUGAACGCUGGCGGCAGGCCUAACACAUGCAAGUCGAGCGGUAACACAGGGAGCUUGCUCCUGGGUGACGAGCGGCGGACGGGUGAGUAAUGUCUGGGAAACUGCCUGAUGGAGGGGGAUAACUACUGGAAACGGUAGCUAAUACCGCAUAACGUCGCAAGACCAAAGAGGGGGACCUUCGGGCCUCUUGCCAUCAGAUGUGCCCAGAUGGGAUUAGCUAGUAGGU